Molecule: ribosomal RNA, 261 nt
Filed under: uncultured bacterium
Lineage: Bacteria
Description: partial 16S ribosomal RNA
Rfam family: Bacterial small subunit ribosomal RNA
Source: RNAcentral
GUCCACGCCGUAAACGUUGGGCACUAGGUGUGGGCUCUUACCAACGGAGUCCGUGCCGUAGCUAACGCAUUAAGUGCCCCGCCUGGGGAGUACGGCCGCAAGGCUAAAACUCAAAGGAAUUGACGGGGCCCGCACAAGCGGCGGAGCAUGUUGCUUAAUUCGAUGCAACGCGAAGAACCUUACCUGGGUUUGACAUGUAGGGAAAAGCCGUGGAGACACGGUGUCCUUCGGGGCCUUACACAGGUGGUGCAUGGCUGUCGU